UUUUAUAGUUGUGGUGUUUAUUGAUUAGUGAAUGUUUCGAUCUAUAUGUGAAAAGAUCAGUGAUGUUUUUCAGAUCUGUUAUAAAAAAGAAGAUCGAUCUGAUUUUUAACUUCACUUUUUUGUUUUGUUUUCCAGGUUCUUUAGUUUUAGUUUUGAUCUCUGGGUUUCUAAAAGGAAUGUUCCGAUAUAUCAGAUUUGAAUUGCUUUUCCGGUUUUUGUUUUUAUGGUUAUUUCAUUUUUUUGGCUGUGAAUCAGAUUUCGGCAAGCUCUUCAUGGGAGGAAUAUUGUGGGACACGGAUGAGGAACGUCUCAGGGAGUAUUUUGAGACAUAUGGGGAGGUGAUUGAGGUUGUGAUCAUGCGGGAUUAUGCAACAGGACGUGCUCGUGGGUUUGGUUUUGUUGUGUUUGCUGAUCCUGCUGUUGCUGAAAGAGUCAUUGUCGAUAAGCACAUCAUGGAUGGCCGCACUGUGAGUUUCUAUAUUUGUAUGGAUUGAUAUAUUUACCAUCAGCAUUUUGUUCAUAUUACGUGUUUAGUCUGGUAAGUCUAAAAUAGCAUUGCAGAAACAUGCACUUUGAAGGAGUCUAAAGAAGUCAUCUAUAUAGAAAUAUCAGUCAAUUUUUGUUGCUGUUAUGUCAUGUUUGAAUCCAUGUGCUGAAUUGAUAGUAUUUGGAGUUGUUUUAAAUCAGAUCUUAAUUGUUCAUUAUGGAUGAUUUCCGCCCUGCUGAACUGAUGAAUUAGGUACGUAUUGUUCGAAUUAGUAUCGGCAUAUUAAUUUGUAAACGGGAACACGCAUGAAUCCAUUGACGGGUUGAGUAUUGAUUCAUAUUAAUUAUUACUCACGAGACAACCCUGUUUUGAUUUAUUAUAGAAUAAUUAAAGAUGGUGUGGUAUAAUCGUCGGGGACCUAUUACCGUUCUUUGAUAAGUACAAAAAGGUUGUUGACAUCUUCAUCCCCAAAGACCGAAGGAAGAAUGGUUGAUGGAGUGUCAAGCAGUGUCAAGAGUAGUUCAAGAUGCAGAGAAAAAUAAAGGCUAUGCAAGAGGGAAAGUUGUUGUAUCUGAAGCAGCAAAUGAAUCUGCUUAUGUUCUAGCUGAUUGUUGGAGGAAUUUAAAGUCUCGGUCGUUCAAA
This is a long non-coding RNA of Vicia villosa (hairy vetch), 1129 nucleotides long. RefSeq lists it as uncharacterized. The transcript has 2 exons. The record is from RefSeq and is a predicted model, not a curated record. NCBI's taxonomy places the organism in Eukaryota, Viridiplantae, Streptophyta, Magnoliopsida, Fabales, Fabaceae.